CUGUGUCCUAGAAAAUGUUCAUUCAUUAGUGCCAGGAGGAAAACAACCCUGCUUUCUCAUACCCUGUAAUCUUAGUGUUUUCAAAACCUCAUGGACUUUUCAUGGAAUGAUGUGCAACUUUUGCCACUAAUCUCAAAGUUCUUUGGUGAUAAAACCUGCAAGGCUCUGCUCCCUGUCUGAGGUAUUGCCUGGUGAUUGUCUGCUGGAGUUUUCAUCCACUGAAAUCCUACUUGAUCUCCCUAGAAUCACACUUAAUGGGAAAGACACUGAGCGACAAAUCAAAGAGAGAUUUCUACAUCCAGAGAGGAUGUACAGUAUACCCCUGGGAACAAAACAAAAAGAAAGUAAAGAAGAAGAACUUAAAUUUUCUUUUGCCAUUUCUUUGCUAUAUAUCCUUGGUAAGAACUAAAGCAGCAAGAACAAAACCAGGGCUCUGCACCUGUUAUAUUCUUAUGCUGU
This 459-nucleotide long non-coding RNA is filed under the name Chloebia gouldiae (Gouldian finch). Its description in RNAcentral is "Erythrura gouldiae (Gouldian finch) lncRNA (ENSEGOG00005013238.1)". Lineage: Eukaryota; Metazoa; Chordata; Aves; Passeriformes; Passeridae. The record is from RNAcentral.